CGGCGGACGGGUGAGUAACGCGUGGGUAACCUGCCUCAUACAGGGGGACAACAGUUGGAAACGACUGCUAAUACCGCAUAAGCCCACGGGUCGGCAUCGACCUGAGGGAAAAGGAGCAAUCCGCUUUGAGAUGGCCUCGCGUCCGAUUAGCUAGUUGGUGAGGUAACGGCCCACCAAGGCGACGAUCGGUAGCCGGACUGAGAGGUUGAACGGCCACAUUGGGACUGAGACACGGCCCAG
Molecule: ribosomal RNA, 240 nt
Filed under: uncultured bacterium
Lineage: Bacteria
Description: partial 16S ribosomal RNA
Rfam family: Bacterial small subunit ribosomal RNA
Source: RNAcentral